GACGAACGCUGGCGGCGUGCUUAACACAUGAAAGUCGAACGGUAAGGCCCUUCGGGGUACACGAGUGGCGAACGGGUGAGUAACACGUGGGUGAUCUGCCCUGCACUUCGGGAUAAGCCUGGGAAACUGGGUCUAAUACCGGAUAGGACCACUGCCUGCAGGGGUGGUGGUUGAAAGCUUUUGCGGUGGGGGAUGGGCCCGCGGCCUAUCAGCUUUAUGGUGGGGUGAUGGCCUACCAAGGCGACGACGGGUAGCCCGCCUGAGAGGGUGACCGGCGACACUGGGAAUGAGAUACGGCCCAGACUCCUACGGGAGGCAGCAGUGGGGAAUAUUGGACAAUGGGCGCAAGCAUGCUGCAGCGACGCAGCUUGAGGGAUGACGGCCUUCGGGUUGUAAACCUCUUUCAGCACCGACGAAGCGCAAGUGACGGUAGGUGCAGAAGAAGGACCGGCCAACUACGUGCCAGCCGCCGCAGUAA
This 478-nucleotide ribosomal RNA is filed under the name uncultured bacterium. Its description in RNAcentral is "partial 16S ribosomal RNA". It matches the Rfam family "Bacterial small subunit ribosomal RNA", at positions 28 to 523 of the family's 1533-position model. The record is from RNAcentral.